UCGAGCGGACUUGAUGAGAAGCUUGCUUCUCUGAUGGUUAGCGGCGGACGGGUGAGUAACACGUAGGCAACCUGCCCUCAAGCUUGGGACAACUACCGGAAACGGUAGCUAAUACCGAAUAGUUGUUUUCUUCUCCUGAAGAGAACUGGAAAGACGGAGCAAUCUGUCACUUGGGGAUGGGCCUGCGGCGCAUUAGCUAGUUGGUGGGGUAACGGCUCACCAAGGCGACGAUGCGUAGCCGACCUGAGAGGGUGAUCGGCCACACUGGGACUGAGACACGGCCCAGACUCCUACGGGAGGCAGCAGUAGGGAAUCUUCCGCAAUGGGCGAAAGCCUGACGGAGCAAUGCCGCGUGAGUGAUGAAGGUUUUCGGAUCGUAAAGCUCUGUUGCCAGGGAAGAACGCUUGGGAGAGUAACUGCUCUCAAGGUGACGGUACCUGAGAAGAAAGCCCCGGCUAACUACGUGCCAGCAGCCGCGGUAAUACGUAGGGGGCAAGCGUUGUCCGGAAUUAUUGGGCGUAAAGCGCGCGCAGGCGGUCAUUUAAGUCUGGUGUUUAAUCCCGGGGCUCAACCCCGGAUCGCACUGGAAACUGGGUGACUUGAGUGCAGAAGAGGAGAGUGGAAUUCCACGUGUAGCGGUGAAAUGCGUAGAUAUGUGGAGGAACACCAGUGGCGAAUGCUACUCUCUGGGCUGUAACUGACGCUGAGGCGCGAAAGCGCGGGGAGCGACCCGGAUUAGAUUGCCUGUGUAUCCACAUCUCUAAACAAUUUGAUGCCUAGGUGUAGGGGGUUCUCUCUCCUCUGGGGCCCGAAGUUCACAUUUACCCACUGCCACGGGGGGUUUGAGCGCCGGGAGACUAGCACCUCAGAGAAAUUGACCGG
This 882-nucleotide ribosomal RNA is filed under the name Paenibacillus sp. RNAcentral's name for it is "bacterial SSU rRNA". It matches the Rfam family "Bacterial small subunit ribosomal RNA", at positions 62 to 917 of the family's 1533-position model. Lineage: Bacteria; Bacillati; Bacillota; Bacilli; Caryophanales; Paenibacillaceae. The record is from RNAcentral.